This 244-nucleotide ribosomal RNA is filed under the name uncultured bacterium. RNAcentral describes it as "partial 16S ribosomal RNA". It matches the Rfam family "Bacterial small subunit ribosomal RNA", at positions 90 to 334 of the family's 1533-position model. The record is from RNAcentral.
CUUUAGUGGCGAACGGGUGAGUAACGCGUGAAUAACCUGACUCAAAGAGGGGGAUAACAACGGGAAACUGUUGCUAAUACCGCAUGAGACCCCAACACCGCAUGAUGAAGGGGUCAAAGAUUUAUCGCUUUGAGAGGGGUUCGCGUCCCAUUAGGUAGUUGGAGGGGUAACGGCCCACCAAGCCAACGAUGGGUAGCCGAGCUGAGAGGCUGAUCGGCCACACUGGAACUGAGACACGGUCCAG